RNAcentral lists this ribosomal RNA (912 nucleotides) under uncultured archaeon. RNAcentral's name for it is "bacterial SSU rRNA". It matches the Rfam family "Archaeal small subunit ribosomal RNA", at positions 1 to 896 of the family's 1478-position model. The record is from RNAcentral.
UUUUCCGGUUGAUCCUGCCGGACCCGACUGCUAUUUGAGGUGAGGAUAAACCAUGCGAGUUGUAUGGGAUACCUAAAUUUCCCAUGGCAAACUGCUUAGUAACACAUGAUCAACUUACCCUAUGGAGAAAUAUAACCUCGGGAAACUGAGGAUAAUGUUUCAUAGUUGAAUAGGCUUGGAAAAGUUUUUCAAUCAAAGGGAUAAGAAAAAUGGUUCUUAUCUGCCAUAGGAUAGGAUCGUGUUCGAUUAUGGUUGUUGGUGAGGUAACGGCUCACCAAGCCGAUAAUCGAUAGGGGCCGUGAGAGCGGGAGCCCCAAGAUGGGUACUGAGACAGCGACCCAGGCCUUACGAGGCGCAGCAGGUACGAAACCUCCGCAAUACACGAAAGUGUGACGGGGUUACCCAAAGUGUUCUCUAUUGAACUGUGGCAGGUGAGUAAUGUCCCCUGCUAGAAAGGAGAGGGCAAGGCUGGUGCCAGCCGCCGCGGUAAAACCAGCUCUUCAAGUGGUCGGGAUAAUUAUUGGGCUUAAAGUGUCCGUAGCCGGUUUAGUAAGUUCCUGGUAAAAUCGGGUAGCUUAACUAUCUGUAUGCUAGGAAUACUGCUAUACUAGAGGGCGGGAGAGGUCUGAGGUACUACAGGGGUAGGGGUGAAAUCUUAUAAUCCUUGUAGGACCACCAGUGGCGAAGGCGUCAGACUGGAACGCGCCUGACGGUGAGGGACGAAAGCCAGGGGAGCGAACCGGAUUAGAUACCCGGGUAGUCCUGGCCGUAAACGAUGCAUACUAGGUGAUGGUACGCCCAUGAGCCGUGUCAGUGCCGUAGGGAAACCGUUAAAUGUGCCGCCUGGGAAGUACGGUCGCAAGGCUAAAACUUAAAGGAAUGGCGGGGCAGCACCAGCGAGAGGAUAACUCU